This 73-nucleotide transfer RNA is filed under the name Ipomoea nil (Japanese morning glory). It matches the Rfam family "tRNA". From Rfam's summary of the family: Transfer RNA (tRNA) molecules are approximately 80 nucleotides in length. Their secondary structure includes four short double-helical elements and three loops (D, anti-codon, and T loops). Lineage: Eukaryota; Viridiplantae; Streptophyta; Magnoliopsida; Solanales; Convolvulaceae. The record is from Rfam by way of RNAcentral.
GACUUCAUGGCCCAAUGGAUAAGGUGUUGGUUUACGGAACUAUUAAUUUUGGGUUCGAUCCCCAGUGAAGUCG